GCCCCCGUAGCUCAGAUGGAUAGAGCAGCCGCCUCCUAAGCGGCAGGCCACCUGUUCGAAUCGGGUCGGGGGCG
RNAcentral lists this transfer RNA (74 nucleotides) under Deltaproteobacteria bacterium. RNAcentral describes it as "tRNA-Arg". It matches the Rfam family "tRNA". Rfam says of the family: Transfer RNA (tRNA) molecules are approximately 80 nucleotides in length. Their secondary structure includes four short double-helical elements and three loops (D, anti-codon, and T loops). Lineage: Bacteria; Pseudomonadati; Myxococcota; Myxococcia. The record is from RNAcentral.